CAGGUGGAGCGGGCAGGGCGCGGGCACCAUGAGCAGCGGCGCCAACAUCACCUAUGCCAGCCGCAAGCGGCGCAAGCCGGUGCAGAAAACAGUAAAGCCCGUCCCUGCUGAAGGAAUUAAGUCGAACCCUUCUAAACGACACAGAGACCGGCUGAACACAGAGUUAGACCGCCUGGCUAGCCUGCUGCCCUUCCCACAAGAUGUUAUUAGUAAGCUGGACAAACUCUCCGUUCUAAGGCUCAGCGUCAGCUACCUGAGGGCCAAGAGCUUCUUUGAUGUUGCAUUAAAAUCCACCCCGGCUGACAGAAGUAGAGGCCAGGACCAGUGUAGAGCACAAGUCAGAGACUGGCAGGACUUGCAAGAAGGAGAGUUCUUGUUACAGGCGCUGAAUGGCUUUGUUCUGGUUGUCACGGCAGAUGCCUUGGUCUUCUAUGCGUCUUCCACUAUCCAAGAUUACCUGGGCUUUCAGCAAUCUGAUGUCAUACAUCAGAGCGUGUAUGAGCUUAUCCAUACAGAAGACCGAGCUGAGUUCCAGCGCCAGCUUCACUGGGCUCUAAACCCCUCACAGUGCACAGACUCUGCACAAGGAGUAGACGAGACUCAUGGCCUCCCACAGCCAGCGGUCUACUACACGCCAGACCAGCUUCCUCCAGAGAAUACCGCUUUCAUGGAGAGGUGCUUCAGAUGCCGGCUGAGGUGCCUGCUGGAUAAUUCAUCUGGUUUCCUGGCAAUGAAUUUCCAAGGGAGGUUAAAGUAUCUUCAUGGACAGAACAAGAAAGGGAAAGACGGAGCGCUACUCCCUCCACAGUUGGCUUUGUUUGCAAUAGCUACUCCACUUCAGCCACCGUCCAUCCUGGAAAUUCGAACCAAAAACUUCAUCUUCAGGACCAAACACAAACUGGACUUCACACCUAUUGGCUGUGAUGCCAAAGGGCAGCUUAUUCUGGGCUACACAGAAGUAGAGCUGUGCAACAAAGGAUCGGGAUAUCAGUUUAUCCACGCCGCUGACAUGCUUCACUGCGCAGAAUCCCACAUCCGCAUGAUUAAGACUGGAGAAAGUGGCAUGACAGUUUUCCGGCUUCUUGCAAAACACAGUCGAUGGAGGUGGGUCCAGUCCAAUGCACGCUUGAUUUACAGAAAUGGAAGACCAGAUUACAUCAUCGCAACUCAGAGACCGCUAACGGAUGAAGAAGGACGCGAACAUUUACAGAAGAGAAGUAUGACACUGCCAUUCAUGUUUGCCACUGGAAAGGCUGUACUGUACGAGAUCUCCAGCCCUUUCUCUCCCAUAAUGGAUCCCUUGCCAAUACGCACCAAAAGCAACACUAGUAGGAAAGACUGGGCUCCCCAGUCAACCCCGAGUAAGGAUUCUUUCCACCCCAAUUCCCUUAUGAGUGCCUUGAUCCAACAGGACGAGUCCAUCUAUCUCUGUCCUCCUUCGAGCCCCGCACCAUUAGACAGCCAUUUUCUCAUGGACUCCAUGAGUGAGUGCGGCAGUUGGCAAGGCAGCUUUGCAGCCGCAAGCAAUGAAGCUCUGCUGAAACACGAGGAAAUCAGACACACUCAGGACGUGAACCUUACACUCUCUGGAGGCCCCUCGGAGCUCUUCCCAGAUAAUAAAAAUAAUGACUUGUAUAGCAUCAUGAGAAACCUAGGGAUCGAUUUCGAAGACAUCAGAAGCAUGCAGAAUGAGGAGUUCUUCCGAACCGACUCCUCCGGUGAGGUUGACUUCAAAGACAUCGACAUAACAGACGAAAUCCUGACGUACGUGCAGGAUUCUCUGAACAAUUCAACUCUGCUGAAUUCAGCUUGCCAGCAACAGCCUGUGAGCCAGCACCUAAGCUGCAUGCUGCAGGAGCGCCUGCAGCUGGAGCAACAACAGCAGCUUCAGCAGCAGCACCCCACUCAGACACUGGAGCCCCAGCGCCAGUUGUGUCAGGUGGAGGUCCCCCAGCACGAGCUGGGUCAGAAAACGAAGCACAUGCAAGUCAAUGGCAUGUUCGCCAGUUGGAACCCUGCCCCUCCCGUGUCUUUCAGCUGUCCUCAGCAGGAACGAAAGCACUAUAGCCUCUUCUCCGGCUUACAGGGGACUGCACAGGAGUUUCCCUACAAGUCAGAGGUGGACAGUAUGCCUUACACACAGAACUUUGCUCCCUGCAACCAGUCACUGCUACCAGAACAUUCCAAGGGUACACAGUUGGACUUCCCUGGAAGGGAUUUUGAACGAUCCCUGCACCCUAACGCUUCUAAUUUAGAAGACUUUGUCAGUUGUUUACAAGUUCCUGAAAACCAAAGACACGGGAUAAACUCACAGUCAGCCAUGGUCAGUCCUCAGGCGUACUACGCUGGGGCCAUGUCCAUGUACCAGUGCCAGGCAGGGCCUCAGCACACCCCUGUGGACCAGAUGCAGUACAGCCCUGAGAUUCCAGGCUCCCAGGCGUUCCUAAGCAAGGUAAGGGCUUUCUACAGGGAAUAAACCUUGUAGGUCCAAGCAUCUCCGUGUAGUCUAUUGUGUUUAAACAUAUUGUCAGAAUCCUUUUAGGCAGCAAGCAACUUUGGGACUACUUCUUAUACAUUUAAGGUCAGUUUCAGAGUCCGAGCAUUUUAAAUGAAGCCUACUCGGCAGACUUGAGCAGCAUUGGCCACCUUCAGACUGCUGCUCACCUCCCUCGCCUGGCAGAAGCCCAGCCUCUUCCUGAUAUCACACCCAGCGGAUUCCUGUAGCUCGAGGCCAGGAUGAAUUUCAGUUCAUUCAGGAACAGGACACCAGAACUGUGAGGGUUGGACUUCAGUACGCUUUCUCCAAAACAGAUCUCAAUGCUGGUGUUUGGUGAAGGAGUUUAAGACCAUAUUGCUAGUUACCUAUAAGGUGGGAUGCUCUGAGGGGCACAGGGAGCGGCCACGUGCAUUCACAGAGCUCCAGCACCUCGGAGUGCACAGUGCUUACUGUGGAGAACUCUUGGAUUCUCUGCUCAGUAACUUCAGCUGGAAAAACAGUGAAGUACUCUGAGCUUUGAACUUGUGGAUUCUUGUUAGUAUACCAAAUACGGAGUUACAGGAUUAAUCGGUUUCCUAUUUUUAACCUCUGUUUUUGUCCCAGAUGUUAAAAUAAAUGGUUUGGUGCUUUUCUCAAAAGAAAAUGUUUUCCUUCUGCACUGUUAAUAUAAAAGUGCCUCACGUUUUUGUUUUUGUUUUUUUUUCUAUCUACCUGUAACACAGGGUGUGUAUUUUAUAUGAAAUAUUUUUAUCUCUUUUGAAUUAAUAUUCUUUCUACACACAGAAAGUUUCUCAAAUCCCAACUUUCUUUUUUUUUAAUGAAUCCAGGCAUGUUUUUACUGCACUACUCAUCCCCUUUCUUCAGAUAAAGGGCAAAGGAUAAAUGAAAGUUAACUAUUUAUUGUGUAAUAUACUUGCUUCUGAACGUUAGAUGUUCCUCUGUGCCUUAUGUUGAAAAAUUUGAAAAUAACAUAUUGCCAAAAUUAUUUAAUUACUGCGUACUAUUAAGAGAGUAGCAAUUGAAUUUUAACAGUGUUUUCUGAGAAAUGAGCCCUGCUGGCUUUCCCUGAGACCUCCAAGAUGAAAUCAGAAAGGUCACCAUAGAAAAUGCUAAAGAUGGCUGUGCCCAUUAGCCUGCAGUGAAGGGAGGUGGCGCUUGUUAAGCUAGUUAGCUAAAUUAAGCAGAGCACUCAUUUCAUUGUCUGAAUUCUCUUUAAAAAACUGUCUUGGGUCUGUAAUCCUUUUCGUUAUAUUGACUUUAUAAAUUCCACUUCUACUAGUGGAAACUAUUAGUUUUUCUCAUAUUUGAGGAGUUAAGAUUGAAGAUGCCGUGUUUGGUGCAAGGUAUUUUAAUGACUGAAAUGAAUGGUGCAUUGUGUAAAGGUAACGAACAAAAUAAUCUAUAAAAUGUUUUCAGGUUUCACUUAAGAAUAGUUCUUACCUCAUAUGCAUAUGUUUUUUCAGUGUAUCUUGUUAAGAAAUCAAAUAAUGAAUUGAGGCUUUUGAGCUGGCAUUAAGAUAAAGAUAAGUACAAUUCACUUCCCUCCAUACAGUAAGUUGUUUGUGUGAUAGAACCUUUGCUACCAAGAUGGCUAAUCUGUCACUCCGCCGAAUGUAGUUCUCAAAUUGCUUAAAGAAAAAAAAAAUGCCAGUGUCUGUCAUUGUCUUUGUCAUCGCUGAGAUUAAUGUAUGAAGGGCAUGGACCUGGAUCUGUUUUUCAUAUAUUGUAUAAAAACCUGAUGAAAUCCCAAACUGAGAUGUAUGAAAAUAUAGCAUUGGUUCUCAACCUGUGAGUCAUGACUCCCUUUGGAGAGAGAAUGGCCCUUUCACAGGGGUUACCUAAGUCCAUUGGAGAGCACAGAUGUUUAUAUCACAGUUUAUAACAGUAGUAAAAUUACAGUUUUGAAGUAACAAUGAAAAUAAUUUUAUGGUUGAAAGAGUCACAGAAUUAGGAAGGUUGAGAGCCACUGAAAUGCAGGCCUUUUUAUUUUUUUAGAAAAUUAUUGUAUGUAAACAUGCCAUCAGGUAAAAAAAAAGUCUCUUACUUCUAUGCAUUUUAAGUCAAAAUUUUGAAACUUUAGGAUUAAGCAUUGAAAAACAACUGUCUAAAACAUUUCACAAUUUGCUUUCAGCAUGAGAUAUCACCAGUGGUCUGAACUAAUAUCCUGUUUUUCUAUGUAAACUUUACAUUAAAAGUUGCCAGAAACCAUUUUGUCAGUCUCUUCUGCAUGUUACCAAAUGUUCAGUUAAAAAAAAAAACAAAACAAAAAACUUUGGACACUGUGAGUAUGAUGGCAUUUAAUCACACACUUAUCAAACUGAAAGUUUUAAAAAGCAAUAUUGUGUGUUCUUAUCUAUAUAAAAAUAGCUAAAAUGCCUAAGAAUAAUAAAAUCACAUUGAACUGCAUAUUCAUUUGUCUGUAUUGCCAAAUGCCAAAUGGAAAGAAUGGUUAAAGCACUGCUAGACUGUGGGAUUAAUUUCUGGAUGAAACUCUAAGACUCUGUAUGUCUGAUUGAAGUUCUUUUCUGGGUGUGUGUUACAGCACCUGAACACUUAACCAAUAUGCCAUUGUAUCAACCACUCAAUCCUUACUAUGCACAAGCUAGUUUGUUCCAGCAUCAAUAGAACUUAGGUUUACAUAGCUUCUUGCUGUCCUUCAAACUGUUAUUGCUUACAUAUGCAGUGCAUAGAUUUAUGUUCGAGUAUGAUUUAUAAUGUCCUUAAAUAUCAAAGGAAAUGUAAACAGUGAUAUACGAUAAUAAACUAACCACCAAGUAUGAA
RNA transcript from Rattus norvegicus (Norway rat), 5278 nucleotides. It is a transcript of the gene named aryl hydrocarbon receptor, with no coding region annotated. Lineage: Eukaryota; Metazoa; Chordata; Mammalia; Rodentia; Muridae. The transcript has 11 exons. The record is from RefSeq and is marked validated.